GGAAUCUUAGACAAUGGGGGAAACCCUGAUCUAGCCAUGCCGCGUGAGCGAUGAAGGCCUUAGGGUUGUAAAGCUCUUUCGCUGGGGAAGAUAAUGACGGUACCCAGUAAAGAAGCCCCGGCUCACUCCGUGCCACCAGCCGCGGUAAUACGGAGGGGGCUAGCGUUGUUCGGAAUUACUGGGCGUAAAGCGCGCGUAGGCGGAUUGGAAAGUUGGGGGUGAAAUCCCGGGGCUCAACCCCGGAACUGCCUUUGAUACUGGUAGUCUUGAGUUCGAGAGAGGUGAGUGGAAUUCCGAGUGUAGAGGUGAAAUUCGUAGAUAUUCGGAGGAACACCAGUGGCGAAGGCGGCUCACUGGCUCGAUACUGACGCUGAGGUGCGAAAGCGUGGGGAGCA
RNAcentral lists this ribosomal RNA (395 nucleotides) under uncultured bacterium. RNAcentral's name for it is "bacterial SSU rRNA". It matches the Rfam family "Bacterial small subunit ribosomal RNA", at positions 358 to 770 of the family's 1533-position model. The record is from RNAcentral.